AGAGUUUCUUUCUGGCUCAGGAUGAACGCCGGCGGUGUGCCUAAUACAUGCAAGUCGUACGCACUGGCCCAACUGAUUGAUUGUGCUUGCACCUGAUUGACGAUGGAUCACCAGUGAGUGGCGGACGGGUGAGUAACACGUAGGUAACCUGCCCCGGAGCGGGGGAUAACAUUUGGAAACAGAUGCUAAUACCGCAUAACAACAAAAGCCACAUGGCUUUUGUUUGAAAGAUGGCCUUGGCUAUCACUCUGGGAUGGACCUGCGGUGCAUUAGCUAGUUGGUAAGGUAACGGCUUACCAAGGCGAUGAUGCAUAGCCGAGUUGAGAGACUGAUCGGCCACAAUGGAACUGAGACACGGUCCAUACUCCUACGGGAGGCAGCAGUAGGGAAUCUUCCACAAUGGGCGCAAGCCUGAUGGAGCAACACCGCGUGAGUGAAGAAGGGUUUCGGCUCGUAAAGCUCUGUUGUUGGAGAAGAACGUGCGUGAGAGUAACUGUUCACGCAGUGACGGUAUCCAACCAGAAAGUCACGGCUAACUACGUGCCAGCAGCCGCGGUAAUACGUAGGUGGCAAGCGUUAUCCGGAUUUAUUGGGCGUAAAGCGAGCGCAGGCGGUUGCUUAGGUCUGAUGUGAAAGCCUUCGGCUUAACCGAAGAAGUGCAUCGGAAACCGGGCGACUUGAGUGCAGAAGAGGACAGUGGAACUCCAUGUGUAGCGGUGGAAUGCGUAGAUAUAUGGAAGAACACCAGUGGCGAAGGCGGCUGUCUGGUCUGCAACUGACGCUGAGGCUCGAAAGCAUGGGUAGCGAACAGGAUUAGAUACCCUGGUAGUCCAUACCGUAAACGAUGAGU
This 850-nucleotide ribosomal RNA is filed under the name uncultured bacterium. Its description in RNAcentral is "bacterial SSU rRNA". It matches the Rfam family "Bacterial small subunit ribosomal RNA", at positions 8 to 814 of the family's 1533-position model. The record is from RNAcentral.